Molecule: ribosomal RNA, 200 nt
Filed under: uncultured bacterium
Lineage: Bacteria
Description: partial 16S ribosomal RNA
Rfam family: Bacterial small subunit ribosomal RNA
Source: RNAcentral
ACGCUCGACACCUACGGUAGGCAGCAGUCGGGAAUAUUGCGCAAUGGAGGAAACUCUGACGCAGUGACGCCGCGUAUAGGAAGAAGGUUUUCGGAUUGUAAACUAUUGUCGUUAGGGAAGAGAAAGGACAGUACCUAAGGAGGAAGCUCCGGCUAACUACGUGCCAGCAGCCGACGGUAAUCUGAGCGGGCUGGCAAGGC